CAGCUCUGAGGGCCUUUGAAACAUCAAUUCUAAUUCCCAAGCUAGGAUAAAGGGAGCUAGGAGAAGGUUUGGAUGCUAUAAUAUUUAGAUCUAAAAUUUCUAAUAGUUAUUUGAUGACGCUGGGUCUCAUUUUUCUUGUAUCCAAAAUGAAAGCAUCAGAUCUAUUUGACAUUGAAUUUUUCUUCUUUCAUUAAAUCUCUCUGUAUGAUCUCACUCUCUGCAUGAAAGAAAAUCUGCAAAGUCAUGUAGCCAGAGCAUGUGCAGAAAAAGAAAUCUUGACCUGAAAUGACCGUGGAACCAAAGAUUCUCCUCUCCAAGGAACCAAAGGACCAGGACAUGACCAGAAUGUAAAAGUCAGACUCUUAUCAGAGGCCAAGGGUCCAUCAUUCAGGAAGAUCUGGUGUUAAAACUCCUUCCCCACCUUACCAUAAAAGUUUAGAGCUUCAUCAUAAAUAUUUAGAAUCCUGCCAUAAAUGCUUGAAGCCCGCCAAUCAAAACCUGUCCUGUCAACAUUUCCAAGUGCCAGCCUGUUCUCCCUAACCUCUUAAAUUUUGCCCCAAAUCCUGAAUUGGGGAGACAGAUCUGAGGGCACAUUCCCCCUGUCUCCUUGAAGAUUAAUCUCUGAGAAUAAAGCUGAAUUCUUUUCCCAAAUGCUGAUGCCAUGAUUGAUUGGCUUGUUUAUGUGCAUUGGGUAGGAGAACCCCAUUUUUGUGCAAUAACAACACUGUCUACCUGGAGGUAGCAUCAGAUUCCACAAAUUAAAGGUUCAUCUCUGCAAGACCACCCCCACCCCUUCCACUUCAGACACAAUUCGCAAGCCCAGGCUGUUACCUGUACUUCUUACCAAUCAGC
This 852-nucleotide long non-coding RNA is filed under the name Equus caballus (horse). RNAcentral describes it as "lncRNA (ENSECAG00000055967.1)". Lineage: Eukaryota; Metazoa; Chordata; Mammalia; Perissodactyla; Equidae. The record is from RNAcentral.